UCGCUGCCGAGCAUCGCAGCCACGACGG
This 28-nucleotide small RNA is filed under the name Bombyx mori (domestic silkworm). RNAcentral describes it as "ovarian small RNA-28847". The record is from RNAcentral. Lineage: Eukaryota; Metazoa; Arthropoda; Insecta; Lepidoptera; Bombycidae.